This 427-nucleotide ribosomal RNA is filed under the name uncultured bacterium. Its description in RNAcentral is "bacterial SSU rRNA". It matches the Rfam family "Bacterial small subunit ribosomal RNA", at positions 355 to 774 of the family's 1533-position model. The record is from RNAcentral.
UAGGGAAUAUUGGACAAUGGGGGCAACCCUGAUCCAGCCAUGCCGCGUGAGUGAAGAAGGCCCUCGGGUUGUAAAGCUCUUUUGUCCGGAAAGAAAAGCUUCGGGUUAAUACCCCGGGGUUCUGACGGUACCGGAAGAAUAAGCACCGGCUAACUACGUGCCAGCAGCCGCGGUAAUACGUAGGGUGCGAGCGUUAAUCGGAAUUACUGGGCGUAAAGCGUGCGCAGGCGGUUUUGUAAGACAGAUGUGAAAUCCCCGGGCUUAACCUGGGAACUGCGUUUGUGACUGCAAGGCUGGAGUACGGCAGAGGGGGGUGGAAUUCCGCGUGUAGCAGUGAAAUGCGUAGAUAUGCGGAGGAACACCGAUGGCGAAGGCAAUCCCCUGAGCCUGCACUGACGCUCAUGCACGAAAGCGUGGGGAGCAAACA